CCCUUAGAUGUUCUGGGCUGCACGCGCGCUACACUGAUGCGCUCAACGAGUUUUAACCUUGCCUGGAAAGGUUGGGUAAUCUUUUUAAAACGCAUCGUGAUGGGGAUAGAUUAUUGCAAUUAUUAAUCUUCAACGAGGAAUUCCUAGUAAGCGCGAGUCAUCAGCUCGUGCUGAUUACGUCCCUGCCCUUUGUACACACCGCCCGUCGCACCUACCGAUUGAAUGGUCCGGUGAAAUCUUUGGACUGUGGCAUUGUGGAUCUUCGGAUUUACGUUGCUGUGGGAAGUUGAUUAAACCUUACCAUUUAGAGGAAGGUGAAGUCGUAACA
This 328-nucleotide ribosomal RNA is filed under the name uncultured eukaryote. RNAcentral's name for it is "partial 18S ribosomal RNA". It matches the Rfam family "Eukaryotic small subunit ribosomal RNA", at positions 1470 to 1796 of the family's 1831-position model. The record is from RNAcentral.